Molecule: ribosomal RNA, 484 nt
Filed under: uncultured bacterium
Lineage: Bacteria
Description: partial 16S ribosomal RNA
Rfam family: Bacterial small subunit ribosomal RNA
Source: RNAcentral
AGUGAACGCUGGCGGCAGGCCUAACACAUGCCAGUCGAGCGGCAGCGGGUCCUUCGGGAUGCCGGCGCGCGGAGGACGGGCGAGGAAUGCGUCGGAAGCUGCCUUUUUGAGGGGGAUAGCGUAGCGAAACGUACGCUAAUACCGCAUACGAUCUACGGGUGAACGGGGGGGACCGAAAGGCCCAACGCGGAAAGAUGAGCCGACGUCGGAUUCGCUAGCUGGAGGGGUAACGGCCCACCAAGGCGACGAUCCGUGGCUGACCUGGGAGGAUGACCGGCCACACUGGAACUGAGACACGGUCCAGACUCCUACGGGAGGCAGCAGUGGGGAAUAUUGCACAAUGGGCGCAAGCCUGAGCGAGCAAUGCCGCGUGUGUGACGAAGGCCUUCGGGUUGUAAAGCACUUUUAUCAGGAAAGAAAUCAUGUCGACUAAUACCAGGAGGAGAUGACGGUACCGAAAGAGUAAGCGCCGGCUAACUACGUG